GUGCCAGGGGAAUCCCCGUCAAAACAAGACGGCCAAGUCCCCGCCUCGUGGAGCACCAGGACCAGCAAGUAGGGGAAGCUCGCGUGAAGGAACGAAGAAAAUGGUCAGGAGCUGUAUGAAUGCCCAAUGUGCCACCUUGUUUGUACUGAUUACCCAAUUCUGCAGGAACAUGUUGAAUUACACUUGGAGGAAUGCACCUUUUUAGAAGUGGAAAGAAACUUGACUGACCUAGAAUUGGCACAGCAUCUCCAGAAUGAGGAAGACAGGCAAAGAAGAGCAGCAGCAGCAAAACAAGAAAGAGAAGAUUUCCAAAAGCUACAGAGGCAAUAUGGCUUGGAUGGCUCCGGAGGAUAUAAACAGCAGUCACUAAAAAAUAUGGAAAAGGAAGUGGCUUUUGGGAGAAUGACCCCAUCUGACUAUCACAGGAGAAAAGCAGACAUGAUGGAAUCUCUGGCUUUUGGUAUUGAUGAUGGAAAGACAAAGACUUCGGGAAUUACUGAAGUACUGUGCCAGUACUAUCAGAAUGAAUGUAAAGACAUAAAGCGUGUAUGGCUUUCUACAGGAGUAGAUCACUUCCAUUGUUCUUUAGGAGACAGAGGUUGGGGCUGCGGUUAUAGGAACUUCCAAAUGCUUCUUUCUUCCCUCUUGAGGAACAGUACCUAUGAAGAGUGCUUGAAAGAUAAUUCAUCAAUUCCAUGCAUUCCAAAAAUUCAGUCAUUGAUUGAAGAUGCUUGGAAAGAAGGCUUUGACCCACAAGGAGCUUCUCACUUCAACAGCAGAUUACAUGGAACUAAGGCAUGGAUAGGAGCAUGUGAAAUUUAUUCACUUUUAACUUCUCUCAGGAUAAAGUGUCAGGUCAUUGAUUUUCACCAGCCAACAGGCCCUGCAGGAACACAUCCUCGUUUGUUGGAAUGGGUUUUCAACUAUUACUCGGCAGACAAGGAAAACAGUUCAAAGGUUGUGUGUACUCCCAAGCCACCAAUCUACCUUCAGCACCAAGGUCAUAGUCGUACUAUUAUUGGAAUAGAAGAAAGGAAGAACAAAACUGUGUGCCUACUGAUGUUUGAUCCAGGUUGCCCCUCACAAGAGAUGCAAAAACUCUUAAAAGGCAUAGAUGGGAACAGUCUCAGAUUGCUUCGAAGAUUUGUGGGCAGCUUAAAACAUAAACAGUAUCAGCUUGUGGCCAUAGACGGUGUACUGUCAGCGGAGGAAAAAGUUACUCGUAGGCAGGCUUCUCAGCGUUUCGUGGCUCAGCGGAUUUCUUGAAAUUAGGAAUCCUGAAGAAAAUCAAGGAAGCUGCAGGAGAGAUUCUGGUACAUUCACACAGGUUCUUGAACGAUGUUUCAGCUGCAAUAAAGCCAUAAUUAAAUGGGGAGAAUCUACAGGAGAUUAAGUAAUGCCUCCUUAGUUACCUUUGGAGCAGGAAGAAGCAACCUGUGAUUAUCAAGAUGUUGAUGAACUACAACUUCCAUAAAUCACUGGUCAUGCUAGCUGAAGUUGAUGGGACAACAGCUUGAGGCCCAUGACUUCCCAUCUGUGUCUUAACAUGUUUUAUUGUUUGCACGUGCUGGUUAACACAUGUGCCUAUAAGCAUUUAGGCUGUACCGCUUGAGCCUUUUGUA
RNA transcript from Podarcis raffonei (Aeolian wall lizard), 1622 nucleotides. It is a transcript of the gene named zinc finger containing ubiquitin peptidase 1, with no coding region annotated. Lineage: Eukaryota; Metazoa; Chordata; Lepidosauria; Squamata; Lacertidae. The record is from RefSeq and is a predicted model, not a curated record. The transcript has 10 exons.